AAUAUUUAUCGAUAGAUUUUCUAUUGUUAGUCAAUAAAACUUAUUGCUAAACAUUUUAUCAAUAAAUUUUUAUUGUGUUACUAAUAAAUUUUAACCGUAAAUAAUGACAAAUUUUUUUAAAACCUUUUGAUAAAAACACUUAUUAAAUACAACUUAUAAAUAUAAUAAAUAUAGAAACUAAGACCGAUCGGUCUACGCCACCCGAUUGAUCAACUAUAUAAAAAGUCAACUCCAGAAGUCUCACAGCAAUGUGAACCAAGCGACAGCCAACCAACUUAACGAUCAUUCAGUCCAAAGGUUUCACGACUUGAUUAACGAGAUGAAAACAUACUUAGAUGAUAUUGGAUUGUAACUGAGUCAAUCUUAAGAAUGUUGCUCCCUGCACUACCUCAUGCUUAAUUUGUCCUUCCAGUAAAUUGAAUAUCAACAUCCCUUUCACCUUCAACGGAUGUUGACGUCUGUGAACAAAUUUUCAC
Molecule: long non-coding RNA, 476 nt
Filed under: Vigna radiata
Lineage: Eukaryota; Viridiplantae; Streptophyta; Magnoliopsida; Fabales; Fabaceae
Description: long non-coding RNA (VRAD_LNC007787)
Source: RNAcentral